GCUGGGGCUCAGUGGUAGAGUGCUCGCUGAGCAAACGUGAGGUCCUAGGUUCGAUUCUCAGCACUGCA
Molecule: transfer RNA, 68 nt
Filed under: Marmota monax (woodchuck)
Lineage: Eukaryota; Metazoa; Chordata; Mammalia; Rodentia; Sciuridae
Description: tRNA.Ala
Source: RNAcentral